RNAcentral lists this ribosomal RNA (254 nucleotides) under uncultured bacterium. RNAcentral's name for it is "partial 16S ribosomal RNA". It matches the Rfam family "Bacterial small subunit ribosomal RNA", at positions 524 to 776 of the family's 1533-position model. The record is from RNAcentral.
UACGUAGGGGGCAAGCGUUGUCCGGAUUUAUUGGGCGUAAAGAGCUCGUAGGUGGUUCGGUAAGUCGGAUGUGAAAUCUCCAGGCUCAACCUGGAGGGGUCAUUCGAUACUGCCGUGACUAGAGUUCGGUAGGGGAGUGUGGAAUUCCAGGUGUAGCGGUGAAAUGCGUAGAUAUCUGGAGGAACACCGGUGGCGAAGGCGGCAUCCUGGACCGGUAUUGACGCUGAGGCGCGAAAGCUAGGGGAGCAAACGGG